GGAUAGAUGGGUGAGUGGCUUAAACCGGCGACCUGCUACGUCGCUUCCUCGAAAGGGGACGAAGGUUCGAAUCCUUCUCUAUCCG
RNAcentral lists this transfer RNA (85 nucleotides) under Stenotrophomonas phage vB_SmaS_DLP_5. It matches the Rfam family "tRNA". Rfam says of the family: Transfer RNA (tRNA) molecules are approximately 80 nucleotides in length. Their secondary structure includes four short double-helical elements and three loops (D, anti-codon, and T loops). Lineage: Duplodnaviria; Heunggongvirae; Uroviricota; Caudoviricetes. The record is from Rfam by way of RNAcentral.